RNAcentral lists this ribosomal RNA (246 nucleotides) under uncultured bacterium. Its description in RNAcentral is "partial small subunit ribosomal RNA". It matches the Rfam family "Bacterial small subunit ribosomal RNA", at positions 26 to 285 of the family's 1533-position model. The record is from RNAcentral.
AGAAUCAACGCUGGCGGCGUGCCUAACACAUGCAAGUCGAACGAGAAAGUGGAGCAAUCCAUGAGUAAAGUGGCGACCGGGUGAGUAACACGUGACUAACCUACCUUCGAGUGGGGGAUAACCUCGGGAAAACCGGGGCUAAUACCGCAUAAUAUCCACGGAUCAAAGGAGCAAUUCGCUUGAAGAGGGGGUCGCGGCUGAUUAGUUAGUUGGCGGGGUAAUGGCCCACCAAGACAAUGAUCGGUA